UUAAAUUGAAGAGUUUGAUCAUGGCUCAGAUUGAACGCUGGCGGCAGGCCUAACACAUGCAAGUCGAACGGUAACAGGAAGCAGCUUGCUGCUUCGCUGACGAGUGGCGGACGGGUGAGUAAUGUCUGGGAAACUGCCUGAUGGAGGGGGAUAACUACUGGAAACGGUGGCUAAUACCGCAU
RNAcentral lists this ribosomal RNA (182 nucleotides) under Salmonella enterica subsp. enterica serovar Newport str. L0167. Its description in RNAcentral is "partial 16S ribosomal RNA". It matches the Rfam family "Bacterial small subunit ribosomal RNA", at positions 1 to 174 of the family's 1533-position model. Lineage: Bacteria; Pseudomonadati; Pseudomonadota; Gammaproteobacteria; Enterobacterales; Enterobacteriaceae. The record is from RNAcentral.